Molecule: long non-coding RNA, 1378 nt
Filed under: Homo sapiens (human)
Lineage: Eukaryota; Metazoa; Chordata; Mammalia; Primates; Hominidae
Description: HSALNT0352764
Source: RNAcentral
AAACAGAAUCUGUGUUGGCGUGCAGGGAGCAGGCAGCGUCUGCAAAGUAGCGCUGGCAACCACAACAGAGAGGCCAGCAACAGGAGGAGCAGGAGUUAGCCAAUGAAGCGUGCUGUGGAGGACAAAGAGCAGCAGAGGCAGGAAGCAGUGACAAGGAGUGAGCUGGGAAAUUCCAGCUGCCCUCCUGUCCUACUUACAAGGAAUAGCCUGGAACAAGUACAGUUGACUCUGAACAAGUCAGGUUUGAACUGCAUGGGUCCACUCAUAUGAAGAUUUCUUUCAACGAAAGCUACCCCGAGUGUGCCUGCCUUUCCUGCCUCCCCUUCCACCUCCUGCACCUCUACCAUCCCUGCCACCCCUAAGACAGCAAGGCCAGUCUCUUCUCUCUCCCCCUCCUCCUUCAGCCUAUUCAACUUGAAGAUGACAAGGAUGAAGAGCUUUAUGAUGAUCUACUUCCCCUUAAUGAACAGUAAAUAUAUUUUUUCUUCCUUACAAUUUUCUUAAUAGCAUUUUCUUUUCUCUAGCUUACCUUAUUGUAAGAAUACAGUGUAUAAUACAUAAAACAUACAAAAUAUGUGUUAAUAAACUGUUUAUGUUAUUGGUAAAGCAUCUGGUCAACAGUAGGCUGUUAGGAAAGUGUGAGGGUAGUCAAAAGUUAAGCUCAGAUUUUUGACUACGCAAGGGUCGGCAUCCCUAAACCCCAAGUUGUUCAAGGUCAACUAUAAUUCCCUAUUACUCCUCACUCUUCCUCCCUCCUUCCUCCUCUUCUUCCUUAUCCCUUCUCCUUCAUUUUCCCCACAGGCUAACUGCAACUCAGCCCACUUCAUUUCCUAAUUUUUCCUCCUCCCUGCAUCCCCCCGAGUCUUUGUGAGAUGCUCUUCCCUUCACUCCUGCCAGCCCUAUGGCAUCAUGGCAUUAUCAUGGUGUAUGGAGAACUUCUGUCUUAUCUGUUUCUCCCACUAACCCAGUGGUUUUCAACUGGAGACAAUUUUGCUCCUCAGGGGACAUUUGGAAAAGUCUGGAGACAUUUUUAAUUGUCACUUCUGGGGAAGGGGGUUGAUACUGUCAUCUACUGAGUAGAAGCCAAGGAUGCUGCUAAACAUCCUACAGUGCACAGGACAGCCCCUCACAAAAAAGGAUUAUCAGGCCCCAAAGGCCAAUAGUGCUAAGGUUGAGAAACUGCACUAGGCUGAGUUCCUUUAAAAUAUGACCCUAUUCAGCGCUGUUCCAGCAGCUCCACAGACAGUGUCCAGUGCCCAGUAGGAAGGAAUCCAAACAGUUUUAAUAUUACAUUUGAAAUUUUAAUUGAAAAACUCUUCUGACAGCUGUAUGUUAUAACUAAUAAGCAAUAUGACCACAUACCACAAUUCAAAGGAAA